This 72-nucleotide transfer RNA is filed under the name Danio rerio (zebrafish). It matches the Rfam family "tRNA". Rfam says of the family: Transfer RNA (tRNA) molecules are approximately 80 nucleotides in length. Lineage: Eukaryota; Metazoa; Chordata; Actinopteri; Cypriniformes; Danionidae. The record is from Rfam by way of RNAcentral.
GGGCGUAUAGCUCAGUGGUAGAGCAUUUGACUGCAGAUCAAGAGGUCCCCCCUUCAAAUCUGGGUGCCCCCU